This 607-nucleotide ribosomal RNA is filed under the name uncultured fungus. RNAcentral describes it as "eukaryotic LSU rRNA". The stretch from base 234 to 387 matches the Rfam family "5.8S ribosomal RNA". Lineage: Eukaryota; Fungi. The record is from RNAcentral.
CUUGGUCAUUUAGAGGAAGUAAAAGUCGUAACAAGGUCUCCGUAGGUGAACCUGCGGAGGGAUCAUUACACAAAUAUGAAGGCGGGCUGGAAUCUCUCGGGGUUACAGCCUUGCUGAAUUAUUCACCCUUGUCUUUUGCGUACCUCUUGUUUCCUUGGUGGGUUCGCCCACCACUAGGACAAACAUAAACCUUUUGUAAUUGCAAUCAGCGUCAGUAACAAAUUAAUAAUUACAACCUUCAACAACGGAUCUCUUGGUUCUGGCAUCGAUGAAGAACGCAGCGAAAUGCGAUAAGUAGUGUGAAUUGCAGAAUUCAGUGAAUCAUCGAAUCUUUGAACGCACAUUGCGCCCUUUGGUAUUCCAAAGGGCAUGCCUGUUCGAGCGUCAUUUGUACCCUCAAGCUUUGCUUGGUGUUGGGCGUCUUGUCUCUAGCUUUGCUGGAGACUCGCCUUAAAGUAAUUGGCAGCCGGCCUACUGGUUUCGGAGCGCAGCACAAGUCGCACUCUCUAUCAGCAAAGGUCUAGCAUCCAUUAAGCCUUUUUUCAACUUUUGACCUCGGAUCAGGUAGGGAUACCCGCUGAACUUAAGCAUAUCAAUAAGCGGAGGA